This 921-nucleotide ribosomal RNA is filed under the name uncultured Pseudomonadota bacterium. Its description in RNAcentral is "bacterial SSU rRNA". It matches the Rfam family "Bacterial small subunit ribosomal RNA", at positions 58 to 1010 of the family's 1533-position model. Lineage: Bacteria; Pseudomonadati; Pseudomonadota. The record is from RNAcentral.
CAAGUCGAACGAGAAAGUGGAGCAAUCCAUGAGUAAAGUGGCGCACGGGUGAGUAACACGUGACUAACCUACCCUUGAGUGGGGAAUAACUUCGGGAAACCGAGGCUAAUACCGCAUAACACCUACGGGUCAAAGGAGCAAUUCGCUUAAGGAGGGGGUCGCGGCAGAUUAGUUAGUUGGCGGGGUAAUGGCCCACCAAGACGGUGAUCUGUAUCCGGCCUGAGAGGGCGCACGGACACACUGGAACUGAAACACGGUCCAGACUCCUACGGGAGGCAGCAGUGGGGAAUUUUGCGCAAUGGGGGAAACCCUGACGCAGCAACGCCGCGUGGAGGAUGAAGUCCCUUGGGACGUAAACUCCUUUCGAUCGGGACGAUUAUGACGGUACCGGAAGAAGAAGCCCCGGCUAACUUCGUGCCAGCAGCCGCGGUAAUACGAGGGGGGCGAGCGUUGUUCGGAAUUAUUGGGCGUAAAGGGCGCGUAGGCGGUCGGAUAAGUCUUGUGUGAAAUCUCCGGGCUCAACUCGGAGUCUGCACGAGAAACUAUCUGGCUUGAGUGUGGGAGAGGUGAGUGGAAUUCCUGGUGUAGCGGUGAAAUGCGUAGAUAUCAGGAGGAACACCUGUGGCGAAAGCGGCUCACUGGACCACAACUGACGCUGAGGCGCGAAAGCUAGGGGAGCAAACAGGAUUAGAUACCCUGGUAGUCCUAGCCCUAAACGAUGAUCGCUUGGUGUGACGGGUACCCAAUCCCGCCGUGCCGAAGCUAACGCGUUAAGCGAUCCGCCUGGGGAGUACGGUCGCAAGGCUGAAACUCAAAGGAAUUGACGGGGGCCCGCACAAGCGGUGGAGCAUGUGGUUUAAUUCGACGCAACGCGAAAAACCUUACCUGGGCUCGAAUGUAGUGGAAUCCGGUGGAAACAUC